AUACGGAAGGUGCAAGCGUUAAUCGGAAUCACUGGGCGUAAAGCGCUCGUAGGUGGCUUUGUAAGUCAGGUGUGAAAGCCCACGGCUCAACCGUGGAAUUGCACUUGAUACUGCAUUGCUUGAGUUCGGGAGAGGGUAGUGGAAUUCCAGGUGUAGGAGUGAAAUCCGUAGAGAUCUGGAGGAACACCAGUGGCGAAGGCGACUUACUGGUCCAUUACUGACGCUGAUGCUCGAAAGCAUGGGGAGC
RNAcentral lists this ribosomal RNA (247 nucleotides) under uncultured bacterium. Its description in RNAcentral is "partial 16S ribosomal RNA". It matches the Rfam family "Bacterial small subunit ribosomal RNA", at positions 523 to 769 of the family's 1533-position model. The record is from RNAcentral.